UGCUGUCCGCCGAUGGAUCUGUUCCGUUCAGAGUCGAUGCAACUCGUCCAAAUCAUCAUUCCGAAUGAAUCUGCUCAUCGGACAAUCGAUUAUCUUGGAGAAAUCGGACUAAUUCAGUUCAAAGAUUUGAAUGCCGAAAAGAGCCCAUUUCAACGAACAUAUGCUAAUCAGAUCAAAAGAUGUGGAGAGAUGGCUCGUAAGUUACGUCUAUUUAAGGAACAAAUGUCCAAAGCAGGCUUGUUAUCUUCUUCUACAUCUGCCACACAAGUUGACUUAAGUUUUGAUGACCUUGAGGUCAAGCUUGGAGAACUUGAAUCAGAGCUGAUAGAAAUGAAUGCUAAUGGCGAUAAGUUACAACGUUCAUACAAUGAGCUUGUGGAAUAUAGACUUGUUUUGAAAAAGGCUGGUGAGUUUUUCCACAUAGCACAAAGCAGUGCUGAAGCUCUACAUCGAGAACAGGCAUCAAAUCAAACUGGCGAACAAUCAUUAGAAACUCCUUUGCUAUCAGAACAGGAAGCAGUGACUGAUCCAUCCAAGCAAGUUAAGUUAGGAUUUAUUACUGGACUUGUUCCGAGAGAAAAAUCGAUGGCCUUUGAGAGGAUUCUCUUUCGUGCUACCCGGGGUAAUGUGUAUUUGAGGCAGGCUGUAGUUGAAGAGCCCGUCAUCGAUCCCGUUUCUGGAGAGAAGGUUGAGAAA
RNAcentral lists this unclassified non-coding RNA (696 nucleotides) under Hevea brasiliensis (rubber tree). The record is from RNAcentral. Lineage: Eukaryota; Viridiplantae; Streptophyta; Magnoliopsida; Malpighiales; Euphorbiaceae.